Molecule: ribosomal RNA, 443 nt
Filed under: uncultured bacterium
Lineage: Bacteria
Description: partial 16S ribosomal RNA
Rfam family: Bacterial small subunit ribosomal RNA
Source: RNAcentral
CCUACGGGUGGCAGCAGUGGGGAAUAUUGGGCAAUGGGCGCAAGCCUGACCCAGCAACGCCGCGUGAAGGAAGAAGGCUUUCGGGUUGUAAACUUCUUUUCUGAGGGACGAAGAAAGUGACGGUACCUCAGGAAUAAGCCACGGCUAACUACGUGCCAGCAGCCGCGGUAAUACGUAGGUGGCAAGCGUUAUCCGGAUUUAUUGGGUGUAAAGGGCGUGUAGGCGGGAAAGCAAGUCAGAUGUGAAAACUCAGGGCUCAACCCUGAGCCUGCAUUUGAAACUGUUUUUCUUGAGUGCUGGAGAGGGAAUCGGAAUUGCGUGGGGAGCGGGGAAAGGCGUAGAUAUACGGAGGAACACCAGUGGCGAAGGCGGAUUGCUGGACAGUAACUGACGCUGAGGCGCGAAAGCGUGGGGAGCAAACAGGAUUAGAUACCCUAGUAGUC